This 484-nucleotide ribosomal RNA is filed under the name uncultured bacterium. RNAcentral describes it as "partial 16S ribosomal RNA". It matches the Rfam family "Bacterial small subunit ribosomal RNA", at positions 30 to 507 of the family's 1533-position model. The record is from RNAcentral.
AUUGAACGCUAGCGGGAUGCUUUACACAUGCAAGUCGAACGGCAGCGCGGACUUCGGUCUGGCGGCGAGUGGCGAACGGGUGAGUAAUGUAUCGGAACGUGCCCAGUAGCGGGGGAUAACUACGCGAAAGCGUAGCUAAUACCGCAUACGCCCUACGGGGGAAAGCAGGGGAGCGUAAGACCUUGCACUAUUGGAGCGGCCGAUAUCGGAUUAGCUAGUUGGUGGGGUAACGGCUCACCAAGGCGACGAUCCGUAGCUGGUUUGAGAGGACGACCAGCCACACUGGGACUGAGACACGGCCCAGACUCCUACGGGAGGCAGCAGUGGGGAAUUUUGGACAAUGGGGGCAACCCUGAUCCAGCCAUCCCGCGUGUGCGAUGAAGGCCUUCGGGUUGUAAAGCACUUUUGGCAGGAAAGAAACGUCGCGGGCUAAUACCCCGUGGAACUGACGGUACCUGCAGAAUAAGCACCGGCUAACUACGUG